AUCCAGGCGAUGAUGGAGAACAGUAAAAAUCCGACGUCUGACAGAGAGUGGAACUCGGCGGCUGGAAGGUUCCUCAGACUACGAUUUUGAAACCCGCUCCGGAGUUGUUCGGGAAUAAACCGGACCGGCGGCCUCCGAUACAGGGCAAAGAGUGAAUGCAUAAUAUUUAUGCAUUAAUAAAGGUGGUACCGCGAAAGUCAACCCUUUCGUCCUUUGG
Molecule: non-coding RNA, 217 nt
Filed under: Desulforamulus putei
Lineage: Bacteria; Bacillati; Bacillota; Clostridia; Eubacteriales; Peptococcaceae
Description: Desulfotomaculum putei T-box sequence
Rfam family: T-box leader
About the family: Uncharged tRNA acts as the effector for transcription antitermination of genes in the T-box leader family. T-boxes are found upstream of many aminoacyl-tRNA synthetase genes and some amino acid biosynthetic genes usually in Gram-positive bacteria. The anticodon of a specific tRNA base pairs to a specifier sequence within the T-box motif, and the NCCA acceptor tail of the tRNA base pairs to a conserved bulge in the T-box antiterminator hairpin.
Source: RNAcentral